GCUUAACGCGAAGAACCUUACCAAGGCUUAAAUGUAUUAUGACCGUCCUGGAAACAGGACUUUCUUCGGACAGAAUGCAGGGUGCUGCAUGGCUGUCGUCAGCUCGUGCCGUGAGGUGUCAGGUUAAGUCCUAUAACGAGCGCAACCCCUAUCACUAGUUGCCAGCGUUUCAAGACGGGGACUCUAGUGAGACUGCCAACGCAAGUUGCGAGGAAGGUGGGGACGACGUCAAGUCAUCACGGCCCUUACGCCUUGGGCCACACACGUGCUACAAUGGCCGGUACAGAGGGCAGCUACUAUGUGAAUAGAUGCGAAUCUCGAAAGCCGGUCUCAGUUCGGAUUGGAGUCUGCAACUCGACUCUAUGAAGCUGGAAUCGCUAGUAAUCGCAUAUCAGCCAUGAUGCGGUGAAUACGUUCCCGGGUCUUGUACACACCG
This 436-nucleotide ribosomal RNA is filed under the name uncultured bacterium. Its description in RNAcentral is "bacterial SSU rRNA". It matches the Rfam family "Bacterial small subunit ribosomal RNA", at positions 954 to 1392 of the family's 1533-position model. The record is from RNAcentral.